GACGAACGCUGGCGGCGUGGAUUAGGCAUGCAAGUCGGACGGUAGAGCUUUAUCGUAAGAUAGAGUUUGAGAGUGGCGAACGGGUGAGUAACACGUAGGAAUCUACCCUUAAGACGGGGACAACCCAGGGAAACUUGGGCUAAUACCGGAUGAGAGUGCGAGAGAUUGCAUUUAAAAGGAUGGCGAAAGUUGUCGCUUAGGGAUGAGCCUGCGGUCUAUUAGUUAGUUGGUGAGGUAAGAGCUCACCAAGGCGAUGAUAGAUAGGCGGCCUUAACGGGUGGUCGCCCACACUGGGAUUGAGAUACGGCCCAGACUCCUACGGGAGGCAGCAGUCGAGAAUAGUCUACAAUGGCCGGAAGGCUGAUAGUGCGACGCCGCGUGAACGAUGAAUCCCUUCGGGGUGUAAAGUUCUUUUAUAUGUGAGCAGUGCUUCUUAUGUUAACAGUAUGGGGAGAGAGAUAUUAGCAUAUGAAUAAGCAACGGCUAACUCCGUGCC
This 496-nucleotide ribosomal RNA is filed under the name uncultured bacterium. RNAcentral describes it as "bacterial SSU rRNA". It matches the Rfam family "Bacterial small subunit ribosomal RNA", at positions 28 to 509 of the family's 1533-position model. The record is from RNAcentral.